GUCAAACAGCCCAAAAAAGAAAAAGCCAAGAAAAACAAAGGAAAAUCAAGUCCUGCAGCUGAUGCAGCAGUUUAUUCUGAAGUCACAUCAGGAAGCUCUCUCAGUCAGUGAGGAGAGCUGUAGCAGCAAAGCCAAGAAGAAGCUUUUUAUGAAGCCACUCUUGCUCCUCUGCUCCCCAAAUAUCAGACAUGCUCAGCUUUAUGCACAGUUACAAUAUUAAAUCAUUAUAUCAUAUAGACCUAUUGCUCUCUUUUAGUAUAAAACAAAUGGAGGUGUAUUGGAAUUGAUAUGUUUUGUAUUGUCAUUUGUGCUUAGAAAUAUAUAAUCAUUUGUGUGCUGAUAAAAUCUUAUCUUAUCCUUAAUAGGUGUGAUAAGAUUCUGUGUGCACUCUUUGCACCAUGAGAUGAGAGGAGCAGCCUUGACGUUAUAAUUUCCAUUAUAGCUGUAGAAACCAGACUGUCUUGUUUGUUAUCUCAAAGUGUAAGACUUCACACCUUUAAAUGUCCUAUUGCAUGUUCAUGUUUUUAUAUUUCAGCAAGAUGUUUACUUCUGGUUUUCUGCAUACAGUUUAAGUUCAUUGAAAGGUCGUAUGUCUAUGUAUGGUAUAGCUGGAAACACACACACACACACACACACACACACAUGCAUGCAUCUACUCACACACACACAGACACUGAUGUUGUUUAGAUAAUGCCAUGUGUAAUUGUAUUUGUGUCAUGGUCCCCGUGCCUGCCCAGCUGGCCUCACAAGGCUACACUUGUGUUUUGCUUUCUCUCUCUCUCUCCCCCCUACCUCUCUGCCUGGGCGGAGCUCACGGCUGGCUCUCGCCCUUGGCUCACACACCUGUUGGCGAUCAGCUGAUCAUCCGACUAUUUGAGGCUGGGCCACAGAUCCUCUCAUCGCUGGAUGAUUGUGCUACUGACUUUACCUUCCCGGACCUGUGACCUCCCACCUGUACGAACGUGUGUGAGUUGGAUGUGAGGACGUGAGCGAGCGUGAAAGAGAGAGCCUUCCCCUAAUCCCUUGGAACCCUGGAUUUUUCCCCGUCACUGUAUAUAUUAUCGCACUGGUGUGUAAAUAAAUGGUGCUCUGAGACGCCAACCUGU
This is a long non-coding RNA of Oreochromis niloticus (Nile tilapia), 1106 nucleotides long. RefSeq lists it as uncharacterized. Lineage: Eukaryota; Metazoa; Chordata; Actinopteri; Cichliformes; Cichlidae. The record is from RefSeq and is a predicted model, not a curated record. The transcript is spliced from 4 exons.